Molecule: ribosomal RNA, 468 nt
Filed under: uncultured bacterium
Lineage: Bacteria
Description: partial 16S ribosomal RNA
Rfam family: Bacterial small subunit ribosomal RNA
Source: RNAcentral
GACGAACGCUGGCGGCGCGCUUAACACAUGCAAGUCGAACGGAAAGGCCCUGCUUUUGUGGGGUGCUCGAGUGGCGAACGGGUGAGUAACACGUGAGUAACCUGCCCUUGACUUUGGGAUAACUUCAGGAAACUGGGGCUAAUACCGGAUAGGAGCUCCUGCUGCAUGGUGGGGGUUGGAAAGUUUCGGCGGUUGGGGAUGGACUCGCGGCUUAUCAGCUUGUUGGUGGGGUAGUGGCUUACCAAGGCUUUGACGGGUAGCCGGCCUGAGAGGGUGACCGGCCACAUUGGGACUGAGAUGCGGCGCAGACUCCUACGGGAGGCAGCAGUGGGGAAUAUUGCACAAUGGGCGGAAGCCGGAUGCAGCAACGCCGCGUGCGGGAUGACGGCCUUCGGGUUGUAAACCGCUUUCGCCUGUGACGAAGCGUGAGUGACGGUAAUGGGUAAAGAAGCACCGGCUAACUACGUG